UACGUAGGGUGCGAGCGUUAAUCGGAAUUACUGGGCGUAAAGCGUGCGCAGGCGGUUUUGUAAGCCAGAUGUGAAAUCCCCGGGCUUAACCUGGGAAUGGCAUUUGGGACUGCAAGGCUGGAGUUUGGCAGAGGAGACCGGAAUUCCUGGUGUAGCAGUGAAAUGCGUAGAUAUCAGGAGGAAUACCGAUGGCGAAGGCAGGUCUCUGGGCUGAAACUGACGCUCAUGCACGAAAGCGUGGGGAGCAAACAGG
This 253-nucleotide ribosomal RNA is filed under the name uncultured bacterium. Its description in RNAcentral is "partial 16S ribosomal RNA". It matches the Rfam family "Bacterial small subunit ribosomal RNA", at positions 524 to 776 of the family's 1533-position model. The record is from RNAcentral.